GACGAACGCUGGCGGCGUGCUUAACACAUGCAAGUCGAACGGAAAGGCCCUGCUUUUGUGGGGUGCUCGAGUGGCGAACGGGUGAGUAACACGUGAGUAACCUGCCCUUGACUUUGGGAUAACUUCAGGAAACUGGGGCUAAUACCGGAUAGGAGCUCCUGCUGCAUGGUGGGGGUGGGAAAGUUUCGGCGGUUGGGGAUGGACUCGCGGCUUAUCAGCUUGUUGGUGGGGUAGUGGCUUACCAAGGCUUUGACGGGUAGCCGGCCUGAGAGGGUGACCGGACACAUUGGGACUGAGAUACGGCCCAGCCUACUACGGGAGGCAGCAGUGGGGAAUAUUGCACAAUGGGCGGAAGCCUGAUGCAGCAACGCCGCGUGCGGGAUGACGGCCUUCGGGUUGUAAACCGCUUUCGCCUGUGACGAAGCGUGAGUGACGGUAAUGGGUAAAGAAGCACCGGCUAACUACGUG
This 468-nucleotide ribosomal RNA is filed under the name uncultured bacterium. RNAcentral's name for it is "partial 16S ribosomal RNA". It matches the Rfam family "Bacterial small subunit ribosomal RNA", at positions 28 to 507 of the family's 1533-position model. The record is from RNAcentral.